This 1033-nucleotide ribosomal RNA is filed under the name bacterium. RNAcentral describes it as "bacterial SSU rRNA". It matches the Rfam family "Bacterial small subunit ribosomal RNA", at positions 136 to 1167 of the family's 1533-position model. The record is from RNAcentral.
GUGGGGGAUAACGUAGGGAAACUUACGCUAAUACCGCAUACGACCUACGGGUGAAAGCAGGGGAUCUUCGGACCUUGCGCGAUUGAAUGAGCCGAUGUCGGAUUAGCUAGUUGGCGGGGUAAAGGCCCACCAAGGCGACGAUCCGUAGCUGGUCUGAGAGGAUGAUCAGCCACACUGGAACUGACACACGGUCCAGACUCCUACGGGAGGCAGCAGUGGGGAAUAUUGGACAAUGGGCGCAAGCCUGAUCCAGCCAUACCGCGUGAGUGAAGAAGGCCUUCGGGUUGUAAAGCCCUUUUGUUGGGAAAGAAAUCCAGCCGGCUAAUACCUGGUUGGGAUGACGGUACCCAAAGAAUAAGCACCGGCUAACUUCGUGCCAGCAGCCGCGGUAAUACGAAGGGUGCAAGCGUUACUCGGAAUUACUGGGCGUAAAGCGUGCGUAGGUGGUUGUUUAAGUCUGUUGUGAAAGCCCUGGGCUCAACCUGCGAACUGCAGUGGAAACUGAACAACUAGAGUGUGGUAGAGGGUAGCGGAAUUCCCGGUGUAGCAAUGAAAUGCGUAGAGAUCGGGAAGGAACAUCCAUGGCGAACGCAGCUACCUGGACCAACACUGACACUGAGGCACGAAAGCGUGGGGAGCAAACAGGAUUAGAUACCCUGGUAGUCCACGCCCUAAACGAUGCGAACUGGAUGUUGGGUGCAAUUUGGCACGCAGUAUCGAAGCUAACGCGUUAAGUUCGCCGCCUGGGGAGUACGGUCGCAAGACUGAAACUCAAAGGAAUUGACGGGGGCCCGCACAAGCGGUGGAGUAUGUGGUUUAAUUCGAUGCAACGCGAAGAACCUUACCUGGCCUUGACAUGUCGAGAACUUUCACAAGAUGGAUUGGUGCCUUCGGAACUCGAACACACGUGCUGCAUGGCUGUCGUCAACUCCGUCAUGAAAUGUUGGGUUAAUUCCCGCACCAGCCCAACCUUGUUCUUAGUUGCAGCACCUAAUGGUGGGAACUCUAGGAAAACCGCCGGGACAACCCGAGA